RNAcentral lists this ribosomal RNA (253 nucleotides) under uncultured bacterium. RNAcentral describes it as "partial 16S ribosomal RNA". It matches the Rfam family "Bacterial small subunit ribosomal RNA", at positions 524 to 776 of the family's 1533-position model. The record is from RNAcentral.
UACGUAGGGGGCAAGCGUUGUCCGGAUUUAUUGGGCGUAAAGAGCGUGUAGGCGGCCAGGUAGGUCCGUUGUGAAAACUGGAGGCUUAACCUCCAGCUGUCGAUGGAAACCAUCUGGCUAGAGUCCGGAAGAGGAGAGUGGAAUUCCUGGUGUAGCGGUGAAAUGCGCAGAUAUCAGGAAGAACACCUAUGGCGAAGGCAGCACUCUGGGACGGUACUGACGCUGAGACGCGAAAGCGUGGGGAGCGAACAGG